CACUGAGAAUUAACAUGUAGACAAGGAAGGAAAAAAAGAAGAACAAGAAGAUGAAGGAAACAUUAUUCAGGAACUAUGCCGUCUCAGUCUUCAAUGAAUAUGAUAUAUUUUAUUAU
This 116-nucleotide non-coding RNA is filed under the name Bigelowiella natans. Lineage: Eukaryota; Cercozoa; Chlorarachniophyceae. The record is from RNAcentral.